AGAGUUUGAUCCUGGCUCAGGAUGAGCGCUAGCGGCAGGCUUAACACAUGCAAGUCGAGGGGUAUAGGUUUUCGGACCUAGAGACCGGCGCACGGGUGCGUAACGCGUAUGCAAUCUACCUUUUACAGAGGGAUAGCCCAGAGAAAUUUGGAUUAAUACCUCAUAGUAUUACGACUCGGCAUCGAGAUGUAAUUAAAGUCACAACGGUAAAAGAUGAGCAUGCGUCCCAUUAGCUAGUUGGUAAGGUAACGGCUUACCAAGGCAACGAUGGGUAGGGGUCCUGAGAGGGAGAUCCCCCACACUGGUACUGAGACACGGACCAGACUCCUACGGGAGGCAGCAGUGAGGAAUAUUGGUCAAUGGGCGCAAGCCUGAACCAGCCAUGCCGCGUGCAGGAUGACGGUCCUAUGGAUUGUAAACUGCUUUUGUACAGGAAGAAACAUCUCUACGUGUAGAGACUUGACGGUACUGUAAGAAUAAGGAUCGGCUAACUCCGUGCCAGCAGCCGCGGUAAUACGGAGGAUCCAAGCGUUAUCCGGAAUCAUUGGGUUUAAAGGGUCCGUAGGCGGUUUUGUAAGUCAGUGGUGAAAGCCCAUCGCUCAACGGUGGAACGGCCAUUGAUACUGCAAGACUUGAAUUAUUAGGAAGUAACUAGAAUAUGUAGUGUAGCGGUGAAAUGCUUAGAGAUUACAUGGAAUACCAAUUGCGAAGGCAGGUUACUACUAAUGGAUUGACGCUGAUGGACGAAAGCGUGGGGAGCGAACAGGAUUAGAUACCCUAGUAGUCC
Molecule: ribosomal RNA, 787 nt
Filed under: uncultured bacterium
Lineage: Bacteria
Description: bacterial SSU rRNA
Rfam family: Bacterial small subunit ribosomal RNA
Source: RNAcentral